Molecule: transfer RNA, 85 nt
Filed under: Planctomycetaceae bacterium
Lineage: Bacteria; Pseudomonadati; Planctomycetota; Planctomycetia; Planctomycetales; Planctomycetaceae
Description: tRNA-Ser
Rfam family: tRNA
About the family: Transfer RNA (tRNA) molecules are approximately 80 nucleotides in length. Their secondary structure includes four short double-helical elements and three loops (D, anti-codon, and T loops).
Source: RNAcentral
GGAGAGGUGACAGAGUGGCCGAUUGUGCCGGUCUCGAAAACCGGUGUCCUGCAAGGGACCGAGGGUUCGAAUCCCUCCCUCUCCG